CCCUCUCUGCAGGAUGGCCUGCUGGACACGGGGGCUCGCAGCACGCUGGCCUGAGCUGCGGGCAUGCCCAGGAUGGUGGGGGGCCAAGGGACCAGGCCCGGCCUCUGCCGUCAGCGAGGUGGCCUGGUGCCUCAGCUGAGCCCUCCUCCGGGAGCUCCUCCCACAGCUGCAGGAGUGGCCCCAGCUCUGCCGCCCGUGAAGUUGCUGACCUGGGCCAGGCCCGCCUGUGGGGCCCAGAGCUAUUUUUAAGGCCCACCGGAUGGGCCUUCCAGGAACCAGGAAAAAACAGGCAGGGCUUGACAUCCUGCCCUGUGGGGAUGUGGCUGGAAGAGGGCUAUGGAUCAGACCCACAGUGAAGAGUACACGCAGGACACACACACCACAGCACGUCUACAACACACACGAGUCUGGAAGAGACGAAGGCUCUGAGUAAACCUCCAUCUCAGGAAACAGGCUGCCUCCUGCUCUCUCCUCCACUCCCAGACCAGCCCAGGACAAGCUACGGGUCCAGGAACCUGCAGCAGCCUGACCCCAGAAGGAAGACCCUGUGGACUACCCACUGGUCCCCAAGAAAAACCCACAAGAUGGGAGUCUCUGGACUCCACUGCAGAGGUGGGCACCCUGCCUUGGAUUUGACCCUGUGAGUAGCUCUUACCGGCCUGAGGUCUGUGGUGCACUGGCCAGCCCUGGCCCUGGCCUCAUGUCCACACAGCAGGAGGGCGGUGGACAGGGCUCCAGGAAGGUAAAAACCCAUGAGCUGCACCAGCGCAAGUUCUACUCUCUGCCCUGGGGCAGUGACGGUGGCAAUGAAGUGGUGUGACUUGGGGCUGGCUGGGCAAGCUGAGGGAGCCAGCAGGCUGGCAAGGGCCUCUGAAGCACAUGCUUGGAGGGCACGCCUGAAGGCAACCUCUGGGGGGCCCAGGGAUGGGGCUGCAAUGAUGUGACCCCAGCCUGGCCCCCAGGGGCCACACCAAGUACCUGCAAUGCCAGAAGGACCAGCACCUUGACCUCUUGGCUCCCCCAAUCCUCAAUCCUCUCUGGAUGGCUGUGGGAAGCAGUGGGCGUCCUGGGCUCAGCCAGGGGGCUGGCAGACGGCUGCUCACGCCAGAGCUGCUCAGGCCGGUGGUGACCUUGGGCUGAGGUCGGCAACCCGUGGGGCCGGAUGGGUCUGUGCUGUACAGAAGGCGGAGAACGGGCUCAGGUCCAGACCACGGCCGUGAAGACCUGGGCUAAUGCCAGCCCUGACACAGGCGGUCAAGGUGGCCUCCCUGGUAAGGUGGACAGCAGCUGGGUCUGGUGGGUAGCCAGGUGGGUGGAGCGCAGGGGAGGGCCCUACAGGCACGGGGACAGCAGGGCAAAGGUCCCCGGGGGCAGGCACGGUCAGGAAGGCCCUUGGGCUGCAGGUGUGCGGUCAGGCCGAGUGGGGACUGUGGCCCGGGGUGGGCAGGACAGUGCCUCACCCCAGGCGGGGGUUUCGAGUCCGGGGGCGCUGCCUGCCCAGGGGGCACGAGCACAGCCCGGGGUACCGGAAGCUGACUCCCGACUCCCGCGGCUCCUCGCAGCCCAGCCGCUACAUUCCCCGCGAGGCCACCGGCGCCUGGCCGGCCUCGCGGGUGACCUUCCCAGCGCGGCCUGGGG
Molecule: long non-coding RNA, 1638 nt
Organism: Bos taurus (domestic cattle)
Lineage: Eukaryota; Metazoa; Chordata; Mammalia; Artiodactyla; Bovidae
Source: Ensembl